This 345-nucleotide unclassified non-coding RNA is filed under the name soil metagenome. RNAcentral describes it as "partial contains 5.8S ribosomal RNA, internal transcribed spacer 2, and large subunit ribosomal RNA". The stretch from base 1 to 120 matches the Rfam family "5.8S ribosomal RNA", at positions 35 to 154 of the family's 154-position model. The record is from RNAcentral.
GAUGAAGAACGCAGCGAAAUGCGAUACGUAAUGUGAAUUGCAGAAUUCAGUGAAUCAUCGAGUCUUUGAACGCACAUUGCGCCCCCUGGUAUUCCGGGGGGCAUGCCUGUCCGAGCGUCAUUGCUGCCCUCAAGCACGGCUUGUGUGUUGGGCCUCCGUCCUCCUCCCGGGGGACGGGCCCGAAAGGCAGCGGCGGCACCGCGUCCGGUCCACGAGCGUAUGGGGCUUCGUCACCCGCUCUUGUAGGCCCGGCCGGCGCUUGCCGACACAUCAAUCUUUUUUCCAGGUUGACCUCGGAUCAGGUAGGGAUACCCGCUGAACUUAAGCAUAUCAAUAAGCGGAGGA